GUGCCAGCCGCCGCGGUAAUACGGAGACUACGAGCGUUACUCGGAUUUACUGGGCGUAAAGGGUGCGUAGGCGGUCAGAUGUGUUAGGUGUGAAAGCCUGGGGCUUAACUCCAGAAUUGCGCCUAAAACUAUCUGACUAGAGCCUCGGAGAGGCAAGCGGAAUUCCUAGUGUAGCAGUGAAAUGCGUAGAUAUUAGGAGGAACACCGAAGGCGAAGGCAGCUUGCUGGACGAGAUCUGACGCUGAAGCACGAAAGCGUGGGGAGCAAAAGGGAUUAGAAACCCUGGUAGUCC
RNAcentral lists this ribosomal RNA (292 nucleotides) under uncultured bacterium. RNAcentral's name for it is "partial 16S ribosomal RNA". It matches the Rfam family "Bacterial small subunit ribosomal RNA", at positions 505 to 796 of the family's 1533-position model. The record is from RNAcentral.